CAAUAGCGUAUAUUAAAGUUGUUGCAGUUAAAAAGCUCGUUGUUGGAUUUCUGGUGGGAGCGAUCGGUCUGGCGCUUAGCGCGAGUACUUGCAUCGUCUCCGGCCAUCCUUGGGGAGAGUCUGUCUGGCAUUAGGUUGUCGGGCAGAGGAUCCUCAUCGUUUACUGUGAAAAAAUUAGAGUGUUCAAAGCAGGCUUAUGCCGUUGAAUAUAUUAGCAUGGAAUAAUAAGAUAGGACUUUGGUACUAUUUUGUUGGUUUGCGCACCAAAGUAAUGAUUAAUAGGGACAGUUGGGGGUAUUCGUAUUCCGUUGUCAGAGGUGAAAUUCUUGGAUUUACGGAAGACGAACUACUGCGAAAGCAUUUACCAAGGAUGUUUUCAUUAA
This 383-nucleotide ribosomal RNA is filed under the name uncultured eukaryote. RNAcentral describes it as "partial 18S ribosomal RNA". It matches the Rfam family "Eukaryotic small subunit ribosomal RNA", at positions 592 to 976 of the family's 1831-position model. The record is from RNAcentral.